CCCCCUAUGUUCUAUUUUUAGCCGUGGUGGCCAUCUUGGUUAGUUGGCCGGGUCACCGGACACAUUUUGUAAACUAGAUACCCCAAUGAUGAUUGUGGCCAAGUUUGGUUUAAUUUGGCCCAGUAGUUUCAGAGGAGAAGAUUUUUCUAAAAGAUAACUAAGAUUUACGAAAAAUGGUUAAAAAAUUGACUAUAAAGGGCAAUAACUCCUAAAGGGGUCAACUGACCAUUUGGGUCAGGUUGACUUAUUUGUAAAUCUUACUUUGCUGAACAUUAUUGCUGUUUACAGUUUAUCUCUAUCUAUAAUAAUAUUCAAGAUAAUAACCAAAAACAGUAAAAUUUCCUUAAAAUUACCAAUUAUGGGGCAGCAACCCAACAACGGGUUGUCCGAUUCAUCUGAAAAUUUCAGGGCAGAUAGAUCUUGACCUGAUGAACAAUUUUACCCCCAUGUCAGAUUUGCUCUAAAUGCUUUGGUUUUUGAGUUAUAAGCCAAAAACUGCAUUUUACCCCUAUGUUCUAUUUUUAGCCAUGGCGGCCAUCUUGGUUGGUUGACCGGGUCACCAGACACAUUUUUUAAACUAGAUACCCCAAUGAUGAUUGUGGCCAAGUUUGGUUAAAUUUGGCCCAGUAGUUUCAGAGGAGAAGAUUUUUGUAAAAGUUAACGACGCCAGACGACGACGGACGACGGACGACAGACGACGACGACACGACGACGGACGACGGACGCCGGACGCCAAGUGCUGAGAAAAGCUCACUUGGCCCUUUGGGCCAGGUGAGCUAAAAAUGGUUAAAAAUUGACUAUAAAGGGCAAUAACUCCUAAAGGGGUCAACUGGCCAUUUCGGUCAUGUUGACUUAUUUGUAAAUCUUACUUUGCUGAACAUAAUUGCUG
This 889-nucleotide long non-coding RNA is filed under the name Mytilus galloprovincialis (Mediterranean mussel). The record is from RNAcentral. Lineage: Eukaryota; Metazoa; Mollusca; Bivalvia; Mytilida; Mytilidae.